This 261-nucleotide ribosomal RNA is filed under the name uncultured bacterium. RNAcentral describes it as "partial 16S ribosomal RNA". It matches the Rfam family "Bacterial small subunit ribosomal RNA", at positions 524 to 784 of the family's 1533-position model. The record is from RNAcentral.
UACGGAGGGUGCAAACGUUGCUCGGAAUCAUUGGGCGUAAAGCGCACGUAGGCGGCGCGUUAAGUCGGGUGUGAAAGCCCUGGGCUCAACCCAGGAAGUGCAUUCGAAACUGGCGCGCUUGAAUAUGGAAGAGGGUCGCGGAAUUCCCGGUGUAGAGGUGAAAGUUCGUAGAUAUCGGGAGGAACACCAGUGGCGAAGGCGGCGACCUGGGCCAAUAUUGACGCUGAGGUGCGAAGCGUGGGGAGCAAACAGGAUUGAGAA